Molecule: ribosomal RNA, 428 nt
Filed under: Malassezia slooffiae
Lineage: Eukaryota; Fungi; Basidiomycota; Malasseziomycetes; Malasseziales; Malasseziaceae
Description: eukaryotic LSU rRNA
Rfam family: Eukaryotic large subunit ribosomal RNA (bases 67-428)
Source: RNAcentral
AAUCCGCGUGUCUUACGAGGAUUCCCCUAAUACUUAACAAGGAUUCCCCUAAUACUUAACAAGGAUUCCCCUAAUACUUAACAAGGAUUCCCCUAGUACUUAACACGGAUUCCCCUAAUACUUCAGGGGAUUCCCCGGAUACUACCGUGCUUUGCGAUACACGCUCAAGAGUCGAGUAGUUUGGGAUUGCUGCUCAAAAUGGGUGGUAUACUCCAUCUAACCUUAUAAUCGGGGAAAGACCGAUAGCUAACAAAUGCCGUGGGGAAAUAUGAAAAGCACUUUGCAAAGAUAGUUACAAUUACGUGUAAAUUGUCGAAAUGGAAGCGCUUGUAGUCACCCCUGCUGCUGGGGACUCACCUUGGCAUCUCGCUGAGGGUAUUUCUCCAUUAGCAAUUCUGCAUUGGUUUGCUGCGCCGGAUAAGGGUCCA